UGGGGAAUAUUGGGCAAUGGGCGCAAGCCUGACCCAGCAACGCCGCGUGAAGGAAGAAGGCUUUCGGGUUGUAAACUUCUUUCUCAGGGACGAAGCAAGUGACGGUACCUGAGGAAUAAGCCACGGCUAACUACGUGCCAGCAGCCGCGGUAAUACGUAGGUGGCAAGCGUUAUCCGGAUUUACUGGGUGUAAAGGGCGUGUAGGCGGGACUGCAAGUCAGAUGUGAAAACCAUGGGCUCAACCUGUGGCCUGCAUUUGAAACUGUAGUUCUUGAGUACUGGAGAGGCAGACGGAAUUCCUAGUGUAGCGGUGAAAUGCGUAGAUAUUAGGAGGAACACCAGUGGCGAAGGCGGUCUGCUGGACAGCAACUGACGCUGAGGCGCGAAAGCGUGGGGAGCAAACAGGAUUAGAUACCC
This 417-nucleotide ribosomal RNA is filed under the name uncultured bacterium. RNAcentral's name for it is "bacterial SSU rRNA". It matches the Rfam family "Bacterial small subunit ribosomal RNA", at positions 355 to 787 of the family's 1533-position model. The record is from RNAcentral.